UGAGCCCAGAGCUGCAAGGCACUUGAUGGGAAAGCUGGUGAAACGGGAUGCUCUCUGAAAGGUCUGUUGGUGCAGAAAACCUAACGGAAGAGUGCUGCCCCUUUUAUUGCUGGAAAAUAAAGGGCGAGGUGGGUGACAUGCCUCAUACCCUGCCGUCCCCUUAGCCCGAGGAGCUGAAGGGACUCCGUGCAUUGAGAGGCCCCGGCAGGACGUCCCUCCAGCGGCAUCUCCACGUGCGAGGACCAGGCUGAGGACUGGGCGGCCGCUGCCCGCGUCCUGCUCGCCUGCCGGCUCCUCUGCUGCGCCCCGCGCCCGCCGUCCUCCGAAAGCAAAGUCAGUGAGUCAGCAAAACAAGGCUGACUCAGCAGUUCCCCGCUGGAGAACGGUAUCAAUGACUCGGCAUUUACGAGGCAGAGGUACAAGCGAGCAGCCCUGAAGUACCCGACUGCUGUCUUCCAAACGCAACCUCCUUCCUAGGGGUGGUGGGGAUUUCAGCUUGCUGCUUCUCCCAGCGAGGCAGGUUUGUCUAGGGGGAACACAAGGCCAUGCGCCCUGCCAGCUCCGCUUACAUGCUCCUUCUAGCGCAUCAAAGGGUCAAGUAUGUUAUGUUUUGCGCAUACCGUUAAUGAUUAACUGCUGUCUGUAGAGGAACUAGUUUUUCUCUUGGCUUUAAAAAAGCUCUUGAAAGAUGAAACGGCAAACCAGCCUUGGGUUGGCUCCAGCAGGUAUUUACAGCUACUGUAUUGAUGGUACAGAAGAUUAGCAGGCAUCUGGAAUCUCAGCUUCAACCUGAACAUCCUCAAUCUGCUUUCCCUGGCUACCCUGACCGGUGCUGGCUGCUGGGACAGCUUGGAUCAUGCUCCACGUGGUCAAUGGAGAGACCCCACAUUGGUUGCACGUUGGUCUUCUGCCCCAUGGCUGUAUCCUUUGUCUCUACACACAAGUUGUUCCACAUGUGGAGAUAAAAGGUGAGGGAGGACUGUUUCUCUACGAAGAUGUUGCUUUGGGGGCAUGAUGCUCUGUAAAAAAGUAAAAAAGUUGGGAAUAUUUACUCCCACCACCACUGCCUUCUCUUUUUCAUGCCCUGAUGGGAGUGUAGGAGUGGCUGUGGACCUUCUGCUGCUGUCUCCAGAGAGAUGGAUGCUCGCACUCACUUUCUAGCAAGAUUUUUCCCAAUGCUAACACAGAUUUCUCCUUCCUCUCUCCUCCUGCACCCCAAGGACAACCCUGCAGGUGACCAGAGGAGGCUUCUGCCAUGCAAGCCAGAAGGCAUCUGGGGACAGAGCUAGGAGCCAAAGCCAGGCUGGGCGUGUGGCUGCUCUGGGUGUGACAUGUGGAGUUCGCUCCUCACGGGUUCCUGUGCCUGGGUCUUAUGGCAAAAUCAAAAUUAAGCAAUUGCAUUUUCUGUUUUGUGUGUGUUUAGAUUGUUAAAAGGCAUGAGAGCUUUCUGGCUUCAAAGUGAGAAGCAGUAAAUACACGGGUACCAGAAGUGGCUUUUGAGUGUUUCUUAUUGCCUGCGUUUCGGAGCAGAAUAUUUUAGCUCUCCUAAGGAGACACUGCCAGCUUUUGCUAUAAAGGGUACACAAGCUACCCGGGGCUCUGCUCCAUGGACCUUUCAUUGACUUUGCCCUGUACAUAUGUGACCAUUAUUUCCAUAAUGUACAAGUAAAAGCACAUCGGUAGCGCGGGUGUUUCCAGUAAUUAAUGCCUCAAAGGUUAGGCAUGGCUCUCUUGUUGAGGUAUCAUGGUGCUCUAGCAAGGAUCGCUUUGCUGCUGUGUCUUGUUGUGCUAAAAGCAGCACAGUAUUUUGCUGUUCUAAUAUU
RNAcentral lists this long non-coding RNA (1823 nucleotides) under Anser brachyrhynchus (Pink-footed goose). Its description in RNAcentral is "lncRNA (ENSABRG00000020055.1)". The record is from RNAcentral. Lineage: Eukaryota; Metazoa; Chordata; Aves; Anseriformes; Anatidae.